This 217-nucleotide non-coding RNA is filed under the name Weissella koreensis. RNAcentral's name for it is "T-box sequence". It matches the Rfam family "T-box leader". From Rfam's summary of the family: Uncharged tRNA acts as the effector for transcription antitermination of genes in the T-box leader family. T-boxes are found upstream of many aminoacyl-tRNA synthetase genes and some amino acid biosynthetic genes usually in Gram-positive bacteria. The anticodon of a specific tRNA base pairs to a specifier sequence within the T-box motif, and the NCCA acceptor tail of the tRNA base pairs to a conserved bulge in the T-box antiterminator hairpin. Lineage: Bacteria; Bacillati; Bacillota; Bacilli; Lactobacillales; Lactobacillaceae. The record is from RNAcentral.
GGAAUAGUUAAGUUCUGAAGGAUUAGUUUAAAACGAUAUGCUUAGAGAGUGGUAAUUUGCUGGGAAACCAUCAUAUUGUUUAAACGAAGGUAGUCAGGGCGCUGGAUUAGUGAAACUUUUUAAGUAGUUAAUUCCGUUUUCCGCGUUAAGGACAGAUGAGAUAGGAUAAAACUUUUAUUCUAAAUCAGGUGGUACCGUGAUUAAUUUCGCCCUGAUG